Pseudopipra pipra is the source of this 786-nucleotide long non-coding RNA. RefSeq lists it as uncharacterized. The record is from RefSeq and is a predicted model, not a curated record. The transcript is spliced from 3 exons. Lineage: Eukaryota; Metazoa; Chordata; Aves; Passeriformes; Pipridae.
CUCUACUCUGCAGCUGCAGAUAAAGGUCCCUCCUGGAGCCUCUGGCCAAAGGUGCCUGGUGAGACGUGAGGGCGACCACUGGGUUUCUGGAGCCGAAGCUACAGAGGUUCUGAGGCCAAUUCCACCCCUGAGGAGAAGGAAAUCUUAGCAGCCUAUGAAGGCAUACGAGCAGCUUCAGAGCUUUCAGAUUCAGCAAUGUCCUCACUCCUGACAGACCAGGGUCCCCUUUCCAGAGUAAUGGAGGAGCACCGUGAUUUUUUAAUCCAAAAUUCCCGGAUUUGAAUGAAAUGCUCUGGAAAGGCUCUGGAAAUCAUUGGGUGUUCACAAUCAUCAAUGAAGAUGUUCACCAGGAAUUGCUGAUCACUGGCCUCCAGCUGGAUGUUGCACUCCUGAUCACCACCCUGGCCAGCAGAUUUCAACCAGCCUGCUGUCUGCUCAUCCAGCCCAUACUUCAUGGGCUUCUCUGUGAGGGAGCCCUGUCUGUGUCCACUAGUACACACAUUCAUUUUGAUUUUAAAAAAUCAAACAGAAGUGAGAGUUUUAAGAGCAGAAUUAUUUUUCAAAGGGAAAUAGAAGGGUAAGAGUUUUCAAUUUUAAUGAUCAUGUUUUACAUGAUGCUAAUUGACAUCUAGUAGAAAUGAGAGAGCACCUUAAGAGACAAAUCUACAUUCUCUAUUUAUGCCUCUGAAUUACAGGUAUGGCUUUGAUGGAACGAGUGCCUUCAAGCUCCAUUGGCAGGCACUGUUUGAAAACUAUUUGGGUGAUUUUGGAUAAGAAAUGAAAGAU